RNAcentral lists this ribosomal RNA (253 nucleotides) under uncultured bacterium. RNAcentral's name for it is "partial 16S ribosomal RNA". It matches the Rfam family "Bacterial small subunit ribosomal RNA", at positions 524 to 776 of the family's 1533-position model. The record is from RNAcentral.
UACGGAGGGUGCAAACGUUGUCCGGAAUUACUGGGCGUAAAGCGCAUGUAGGUGGUUAUGCCAGUCGACGAUCAAAGACUGCCGCUUAACGGCAGGACCGUUGUCGAUACUACAUAACUAGAGGAAUGCAGGGGUACGCGGAACUUUCGGUGUAGGAGUGAAAUCCGUAGAUAUCGAAAGGAACACCAAUGGCGAAGGCAGCGUACUGGGCAUUAUCUGACACUAAGAUGCGAAAGCGUGGGGAGCAAACGGG